Small nucleolar RNA from Gambusia affinis (western mosquitofish), 73 nucleotides. The record is from Ensembl. NCBI's taxonomy places the organism in Eukaryota, Metazoa, Chordata, Actinopteri, Cyprinodontiformes, Poeciliidae.
UCAAGCCAGUGAUGAUACAAGUUAUCCCUGUCUGAAAAAUAAUUUUGUUGAGUUCUGGUAACCUGAGGCUUGG